RNAcentral lists this long non-coding RNA (1630 nucleotides) under Cyanistes caeruleus (blue tit). RNAcentral's name for it is "lncRNA (ENSCCEG00000002927.1)". Lineage: Eukaryota; Metazoa; Chordata; Aves; Passeriformes; Paridae. The record is from RNAcentral.
AGGAGGUGCCGGGAGCGUUCCCUUCGCCCUCCAGCGCCCUUUAACCGGGCUCUCGUCUGAACCGUCAUCCUCUUGGCUUCUUGCAGUAUAGACUGUUUCUCAAGCAGUCCAGGUGUUUAAAUUUAAACAAACGUUCUUUUUCAGUGUUCUCUGUCUUUCUGAGAGGCUUCUUUGGAGAUGAAUGUUUUACGCUGGAAUGAAUGAAAUAAAACAGCUCAGAGGCAUAACUGAUUUCAGGGAGUUAUACAGGAAGCGAUCCUCUAUGGAUAUUUGGGAUCACGAUGUUGGUGUGACUGAUCUGAUACUGAAGUUAUGAUGUAGAUAAGAAGAGGGGUCAAAAAGCUUCCAAAUAAUGUCUUGCACUUCCAGCUUACUCCGGAGCAAAUAAGCAGGGAUCUGAAAAGUGAUUUCAUGUACCAUCUGGAGCAGGAUCAGGAAUUACAGAGGAUCCAAGAAGUGAGAGAGGCCUUACCUCUGAAGAAUUUUGAAAGUGAGAUUCUGGACGCAAUCCGUCACAAUUCUGUUGUUGUCAUCUGUGGUGCCACCGGUUGUGGCAAAACCAAAGUGCUCCAGUACAUUCCUGAUCUCUCUUCCCUCCUUCCAGCCCCUCUGCAAUCAUUCUUUUCAUGAGGAACAGUCAGGGCACGGGACACCUCGUGUGUCAGGCACAGGGACCAUCAGCCAGCAUUCAAAAUAAUGCACCUUUCAAUCUGACAGCAGGUGACUUGCGCAGUUGAGACCCCACCUGCAGAGCUGCCUGCAGCUCUGUGGCUCCCAACAUCAGGACAUGGAGCUGCUGGAGUGAAUCACCCCACACCUGGCCAAGAGACACUUCCAAGACAAAGUCCAAGAAGUGGGUAUUUGCUUUAUUCAGUGGGCUGGGAUCACUCCUCCUAACAGCGCACACCCAGGCACAUAGCAAAUUAAAAUAUAUGGUUAUACUUUAUGCACAUUGUUUUCCUUAGAAAAGGUGUGGUUAUGCAAAAUAUUUCUUAGCACGCAUCAUUAUCAGUAGCAUACGCGAAGCAAAGGCGCAGUGCAUCCUAGUGGUUACACUGAGAAAGGCUCCAUGUUUUCCUUGGUGGUUCUUUGAUGAAGGCUUGAUGUCUUCCUCACCAUUUUUUCACCUUUCUCCUCUAGGCAUGUGUUGUCUCUUGGCAGCUGUUUCAGUUAGUUCCUCACUGGUUUUAGCAAGCUUUGUCCUUCAUUUUAUGUUUAUUGCAAAACAUUUCAAGUUUUGUUCCCUAUUGCCAAGUUUCAUCCUGUGUUUUUAGCUUGUGGCCUGAUAUUUGCUAGCUUCUAUAUAGGUUAUGAUAAAUCUUAUUCUUGCCCAAGUAUGCCUAGGCCCAAUGCUUUUAACUCUUUCAGGAGCAAGUCCAGAGAAGGCCUUGAGGAGUCCCUCAAGGAGGCUAGAGUUCUCUGCUUUGGAGACAAGGCUGGGAGAGCUGGGGAUAUUCAGCUUGGAGAAAAGAAGGCUCAUAUGAGACCUUAGAACCCUUUCCAGUGCCUAAAGCGGCUCCAAGACAGCUGGAGAGGGACUUGUGACAAGGCCUGAAGUGAUAGGACAAGGGGGAAUGGCUUCCCACUGCCAGAGGGUAGAGUCACAUGGGAUAUUAGGAAGUUCUUCCUU